GCCGAAAUAGCUCAGUUGGGAGAGCGUUAGACUGAAGAUCUAAAGGUCCCUUGUCCGAUCCCGGUUUUCGGCA
This 73-nucleotide transfer RNA is filed under the name Perca fluviatilis (European perch). It matches the Rfam family "tRNA". From Rfam's summary of the family: Transfer RNA (tRNA) molecules are approximately 80 nucleotides in length. Their secondary structure includes four short double-helical elements and three loops (D, anti-codon, and T loops). Lineage: Eukaryota; Metazoa; Chordata; Actinopteri; Perciformes; Percidae. The record is from Rfam by way of RNAcentral.